Molecule: ribosomal RNA, 229 nt
Filed under: uncultured bacterium
Lineage: Bacteria
Description: partial 16S ribosomal RNA
Rfam family: Bacterial small subunit ribosomal RNA
Source: RNAcentral
CGCGUAGGCGGCUUUAUAAGUCAGAGGUGAAAGCCCACAGCUCAACUGUGGAACUGCCUUUGAUACUGUGGAGCUUGAAUUAGGUUGAGGUUAGCGGAAUGUGGCAUGUAGCGGUGAAAUGCAUAGAUAUGCCAUAGAACACCAAUUGCGAAGGCAGCUAACUAGGCCUUGAUUGACGCUGAGGCACGAAAGCGUGGGGAGCGAACAGGAUUAGAUACCCUGGUAGUCC